AGAGUUUGAUCCUGGCUCAGGAUGAACGCUGGACGGCGUGCCUAAUACAUGCAAGUCGAACGGCAGCAGCAAUGCUGUAGUGGCGAACGGGUGAGUAACACGUUGGUGACCUGCCCCAAAGAUGGGAAUAUCACCUGGAAAACGGGUGGCAAAACCGAAUAAGCUUGGCUGAGUUAGAGAAGGUCAAGUAAAAGUGCAAACUACUUUGGGAGGGGCCUGCGGCCCAUCAGUUAGUUGGUGAGGGUAACGGCCCACCAAGACGAAGACGGGUAGGGGACCUGAGAGGGUGGUCCCCCACAAUGGAACUGAAACACGGUCCAAACUCCUACGGGAGGCAGCAGUGGGGAAUAUUGGGCAAUGGGCGAAAGCCUGACCCAGCAACGCCGCGUGAGGGAAGAAGGUUUUCGGAUUGUAAACCUCUGUCCUCAGGGACGAAGGAAGUGACGGUACCUGAGGAGGAAGCCCCGGCUAACUACGUGCC
RNAcentral lists this ribosomal RNA (481 nucleotides) under uncultured organism. RNAcentral describes it as "SSU rRNA". It matches the Rfam family "Bacterial small subunit ribosomal RNA", at positions 8 to 509 of the family's 1533-position model. The record is from RNAcentral.